GACGUAGGGCGCGAGCGUUGUUCGGAUUUACUGGGCGUAAAGGGCGCGUAGGCGGUCGUGACAAGUCACUUGUGAAAUCUCCGGGCUUAACUCGGAACGGUCAAGUGAUACUGUCGGACUAGAGUACAGAAGGGGCAACUGGAAUUCUCGGUGUAGCGGUGAAAUGCGUAGAUAUCGAGAGGAACACCUGCGGCGAAGGCGGGUUGCUGGGCUGAUACUGACGCUGAGGCGCGAAAGCCAGGGGAGCGAACGGG
RNAcentral lists this ribosomal RNA (254 nucleotides) under uncultured bacterium. RNAcentral describes it as "partial 16S ribosomal RNA". It matches the Rfam family "Bacterial small subunit ribosomal RNA", at positions 524 to 776 of the family's 1533-position model. The record is from RNAcentral.